Molecule: ribosomal RNA, 497 nt
Filed under: uncultured bacterium
Lineage: Bacteria
Description: partial 16S ribosomal RNA
Rfam family: Bacterial small subunit ribosomal RNA
Source: RNAcentral
GAUGAACGCUGGCGGCGUGCCUAAUACAUGCAAGUCGAGCGAACGGACGAGAAGCUUGCUUCUCUGAUGUUAGCGGCGGACGGGUGAGUAACACGUGGAUAACCUACCUAUAAGACUGGGAUAACUUCGGGAAACCGGAGCUAAUACCGGAUAAUAUUUUGAACCGCAUGGUUCAAAAGUGAAAGACGGUCUUGCUGUCACUUAUAGAUGGAUCCGCGCUGCAUUAGCUAGUUGGUAAGGUAACGGCUUACCAAGGCAACGAUGCAUAGCCGACCUGAAAGGGUGAUCGGCCACACUGGAACUGAGACACGGUCCAGACUCCUACGGGAGGCAGCAGUAGGGAAUCUUCCGCAAUGGGCGAAAGCCUGACGGAGCAACGCCGCGUGAGCGAUGAAGGUCUUCGGAUCGUAAAACUCUGUUAUUAGGGAAGAACAUAUGUGUAAGUAACUGUGCACAUCUUGACGGUACCUAAUCAGAAAGCCACGGCUAACUACGUG